This 50-nucleotide transfer RNA is filed under the name Stenella longirostris (spinner dolphin). Its description in RNAcentral is "tRNA-Phe". The record is from RNAcentral. Lineage: Eukaryota; Metazoa; Chordata; Mammalia; Artiodactyla; Delphinidae.
UAAAGCAAGACACUGAAAAUGUCUAGAUGGGCAUUAUUGCCCCAUCAACA